UGAGGAAUUUUCCGCAAUGGGCGAAAGCCUGACGGAGCAACGCCGCGUGCAGGAUGACGGCCUUCGGGUUGUAAACUGCUUUUAAUUGGGAAGAUUAUGACGGUACCAAUUGAAUAAGGAUCGGCUAACUACGUGCCAGCAGCCGCGGUAAUACGUAGGAUCCAAGCGUUAUCCGGAAUCACUGGGCGUAAAGCGUGCGUAGGCGGAUGCGUAAGUGAGAUGCGAAAUCCAGCGGCUCAACCGUUUGGACUGUAUUUCAUACUGCGCGACUAGAGGAUGGCAGAGGUCAGUGGAAUUGGUAGUGUAGCAGUGAAAUGCGUAGAUAUUACCAGGAACACCAAUGGCGAAGGCAGCUGACUGGGCCACACCUGACGCUGAGGUACGAAAGCGUGGGGAGCGAACAGG
This 405-nucleotide ribosomal RNA is filed under the name uncultured bacterium. RNAcentral describes it as "bacterial SSU rRNA". It matches the Rfam family "Bacterial small subunit ribosomal RNA", at positions 355 to 776 of the family's 1533-position model. The record is from RNAcentral.